This 688-nucleotide small RNA is filed under the name Pan troglodytes (chimpanzee). Its description in RNAcentral is "retained intron". Lineage: Eukaryota; Metazoa; Chordata; Mammalia; Primates; Hominidae. The record is from RNAcentral.
GAGAUUGCAUCACUGCACUCCAUCCUGGGCAAGACUCCCUCUCAAAAGAAAAAACCUAUGUGAUGUUCUAGUUCAAAAGCCUGUGAUUCUGGACUGAGUUAUCUGGUCUUAGUGGAGAAAAAAACACCAAAGAUCUGCAGUUUAUACCGGUGAGGAUGGAAAAAUUCAGGCUGAAAUUAGGGUGCUACUGAGAUAAAAGGUAGAAAGUAUUUCCUGAAGGGCUUACUGCUGAUUAUAUUGAAAUAGAAGCAGAGUUCAGAGUACCUUAGUAACUGCAUAAAUGGCAGGUAUGUCAUUGGGAAAUGGGAUUGAGAAAUAACAACAUGUUUUUCAUCUUUAUUUUAAAGCAACAAGGAAAAAUUCAGGAUCAGACAACCGGAAAUGAUCCCUCGGAUUAAUGCUGAACUGUUGUUUCGGCCAACUGCUCUUUCAACUCCAAGCUUUUCUUCUCCUAAGGAAAGUGUUCCAAGAAGACAUCUUUCAGAAGGAACAAAUUCUUAUGCGACAAGACUUCUAAAUAAUCAUCAAGUUUCACCCCAAUCUGAACCUGAGAGCAACAGCUUGAAACGGAGACUUUCUACUCGUUCCUCAAUUUUGAAUGCAAAGAAUCGGAGAUUGAGUAGUCAGUUUGAAAAUUCAGUUUAUAAAGGUGAUGACGAUGAUGAAGAUGUCAUCAUCUUAGAAGAAA